This 21-nucleotide non-coding RNA is filed under the name Caenorhabditis elegans. The record is from RNAcentral. Lineage: Eukaryota; Metazoa; Nematoda; Chromadorea; Rhabditida; Rhabditidae.
UCUCGAAAACUCAUCGAGCAU